AAUCAGGUUCAUGUGGACCGCAGGCGUGAUGGACUCGACCGAAGACUUCACCGUGGAGUUAUGGCUUUUGACGCUUGGCCCCCUGAUGAAGAUGCAAUCGCUGACGAAGUACAGGAGCCAUAUCCACGGAUGAACAGGGCCUAUGCAGGAGGGAGGAAUAUGGAACCCAUGAGAAAUAGGUUCCCUUGUGGCGUUCGUGACAGGGGCCCCCCCGAUUUCAGAUUGAAAGUAGACCUCCCU
Molecule: long non-coding RNA, 240 nt
Filed under: Phoenix dactylifera (date palm)
Lineage: Eukaryota; Viridiplantae; Streptophyta; Magnoliopsida; Arecales; Arecaceae
Description: long non-coding RNA (PDAC_LNC002682)
Source: RNAcentral